This 441-nucleotide ribosomal RNA is filed under the name uncultured bacterium. RNAcentral describes it as "partial 16S ribosomal RNA". It matches the Rfam family "Bacterial small subunit ribosomal RNA", at positions 338 to 795 of the family's 1533-position model. The record is from RNAcentral.
CCUACGGGCGGCAGCAGUAGGGAAUUUUGCGCAAUGGGGGAAACCCUGACGCAGCAACGCCGCGUGAUCGAUGAAGCCCUUCGGGGUGUAAAGAUCUGUCAGUGGGGACGAAACCUUACGGUACCCACAGAGGAAGCACCGGCUAACUCCGGGCCAGCAGCCGCGGUAAUACGGGGGGUGCAAGCGUUGUCCGGAAUCAUUUGGCGUAAAUAGUUCGUAGGGGGCCCGUUAAGUCUGGUGUUAAAGGCGGAAGCUCAACUUCCGUAGGGCACUGGAUACUGGCGAGCUGGAGUGCGGUAGAGGGAAAGGGAAUGCCUGGUGUAGCGGUGAAAUGCGUAGAUAGAAGGAGGAACAGCGGUGGCGUAAGCGAUUUACUGGGCCGUAAUUGACACUGAGGAACGAAAGCCGGGGUAGCAAAUGGGAUUAGAUACCCCUGUAGUC